GAUGAACGCUGGCGGCGUGCUUAAUACAUGCAAGUCGAGCGAACAGAUGAGGAGCUUGCUCCUCUGACGAUAGCCGCGGAAGGGUGAGUCACACGUGGAUAACCUACCUCUAAGACUGGGAUACCUUCGGGACUCCGGAGCUAAUACCGGAUAAUAUAUUUUACCGUAUGGUUCAAUAGUGAAAGUCGGUUUUGCUGUCACUUAUAGAUGGAUCCGCGCCGCAUUAGCUUGUUGGUAAGGUAACGGCUUACCAAGUCAACGAUGCGUAGCCGACCUGGGAGGGUGAUCGGCGACACUGGAACGGAGACGCGGUCCAGACUCCUACGGGACGCAGCAGUAGGGAAUCUGCCGCAGUGGGCGGAAGCCUGACGGAGCAGCGCCGAGUGAGUGAUGAAGGUCUUGGGAUCGUAAAGCUCUGUUAUUAGGGAAGAACAAAUGUGUAAGUAGCUAUACACGACUUGACGGUACCUAAUCAGAAAGCCACGGCUAACUACGUG
This 497-nucleotide ribosomal RNA is filed under the name uncultured bacterium. Its description in RNAcentral is "partial 16S ribosomal RNA". It matches the Rfam family "Bacterial small subunit ribosomal RNA", at positions 28 to 507 of the family's 1533-position model. The record is from RNAcentral.